RNAcentral lists this transfer RNA (58 nucleotides) under uncultured eukaryote. The record is from RNAcentral.
CACCUCGUGAUUGCAAGAAGGCUUCAGACGUGCCCCGUCCCUCGAGAGCACGGAACAC